UUUACUUUGAAGAUCUAUUUGGGUAUGUCAUAUUAAUUUUGUUGAUGAACAUAAAUUUAUUGAAGUGUAGAUCUACUUUACGGGAAAACAUAAAGAUUGCUCCAUUUUUCGUUCAGUGAUCCUAGAGGGUCUAUCAUAGCCAGUGCUGCUGCAUUAGCUUACAGUGAGGAGAUGCUGGAAAUAUCUGCUGUGACAUAUUGUCACCAGAAACAUAGAAGACAUGCAACUGAGAUGAAUCCUCAUCCUAUCAAAAUCUCAUACAAGAGACACCCCCAUUGAUCACCUGCAGUAUUGAGACUGAUCUUCAACCCAUUGAACUAACUGAUGAGAGACUAAGUUGCUGGCUAUUAGAUCCAAUUGCUACAGCAGUUAUUCCUAUUGACAAAUUUUUACCAGAAGGUUCUGUUUUGAAUGAGUCUCAUGCUCCUGUUAUAUAAAAGCUAUUGAACAGAUAGUCAAUGAAUGGCACAUACUAGGAUUAUCUUGGAAUUCAAGAUCACAAGUUAAAAUAAAUUAAAUAUACAUUAAAUAGAUGUAUCCCGUAAAGACAUGAUAGUUCACUGGUUAAAGACUGGUACUGUUACAACAGAAAAGCUGAUAGAAGCACUCCAGGAUUUGGGAAGAAAUAAUGUUACUGCUGAAGUAAAGUGUCUACCUAAACAAUAAUUUAUUCUUUCUAUUAUUAAUAAUAAUAUUAUUUCUUAAUCUUCCUUUUUACUAUUACUUACAUAUAUUUACUUCUUUUCCU
Long non-coding RNA from Amphimedon queenslandica, 748 nucleotides. RefSeq lists it as uncharacterized. The record is from RefSeq and is a predicted model, not a curated record. NCBI's taxonomy places the organism in Eukaryota, Metazoa, Porifera, Demospongiae, Haplosclerida, Niphatidae. The transcript has 3 exons.